This 484-nucleotide ribosomal RNA is filed under the name uncultured bacterium. Its description in RNAcentral is "partial 16S ribosomal RNA". It matches the Rfam family "Bacterial small subunit ribosomal RNA", at positions 30 to 507 of the family's 1533-position model. The record is from RNAcentral.
AUCGAACGCUGGCGGCAUGCCUAACACAUGCAAGUCGAGCGGAUGAAGCGAGCUUGCUCCUGGAUUCAGCGGCGGACGGGUGAGUAAUGCCUAUGAAUCUGCCUGGUAGUGCGGGAUAACGUCCUGAUACGGGCUCUAAUACUGCAUCCGUCCUGAUCGAGCAAGUGGGGGAUCUUCGGACCUCUCGCUCUCAUAUGAGCCUAGGUUGGAUUAGCUGGUUGGUGGGGUAAAGGCUUACCAAGGCGGCGAUCCGUAACUGGUCUGAGAGGAUGGUCAGUCACACGGGAAGUGAGACAGGGUACAGACUCCUGCGGGAGGCAGCAGUGGAGAAUAGUGGACAAGGGAGGAAAGGAUGAUACAGCCAGGCGGCGUGUGUGAAGAAGGAGUUCGGAUUGGAAAGCAAUGUAAGUUGGGGGGAAGGGAAGUAAGUUAAUACGGUGCGGUAUUGACGGUACCGGGAGAAUAAGCACCGGCUAACUUCGUG